UACGAAGGGGGCGAGCGUUGUCGAUUUACUGGGCGUAAAGGGCGCGCAGGCGGUCUUGAAAGUCAGGCGUGAAAGCCCCGGGCUUAACCUGGGAAUUGCGCUUGAUACUCUGAGACUGGAGUACGGGAGAGGAGAGUGGAAUUCCCAGUGUAGAGGUGAAAUUCGUAGAUAUUGGGAAGAACACCAGUGGCGAAGGCGGCUCUCUGGACCGUAACUGACGCUGAGGCGCGAAAGCGUGGGGAGCAAACAGG
This 251-nucleotide ribosomal RNA is filed under the name uncultured bacterium. Its description in RNAcentral is "partial 16S ribosomal RNA". It matches the Rfam family "Bacterial small subunit ribosomal RNA", at positions 524 to 776 of the family's 1533-position model. The record is from RNAcentral.